RNAcentral lists this ribosomal RNA (309 nucleotides) under Triticum aestivum (bread wheat). RNAcentral's name for it is "partial small subunit ribosomal RNA". Lineage: Eukaryota; Viridiplantae; Streptophyta; Magnoliopsida; Poales; Poaceae. The record is from RNAcentral.
AUGUCACUUUGUGCCGCCGUCGGUGGAACCGCGCUAAGCGAUCUGGUGCGGAUCAAGAAGCACUUCUGGUGCAAGCAUGGUAGUCAGCGGCAGUGGAUGUGCGCCCGCUGCGCAAGGACUACACCGUCCGGUUCGGCUACAAGGCACACCUCAAGAACUGCGGUCACAUCUUCUCCCGAUCGCUACGCUCAUCGAGCCAGAAAAAUAUAUAGAAAACAGCUGUCGCAUGCAUGUAAGCAAACCAUGCAUGCAAGCACGUCCCCACAUUCUAGUAGAAACCAACCACCCGGCAAUUCUUGGUCCAAGUAA